RNAcentral lists this small RNA (69 nucleotides) under Arabidopsis thaliana (thale cress). RNAcentral's name for it is "ATSL209460". The record is from RNAcentral. Lineage: Eukaryota; Viridiplantae; Streptophyta; Magnoliopsida; Brassicales; Brassicaceae.
AAUAUGUUAUUAGAUAAUUCGGAAACUUCAAUCUAAUUUAAUAACAAAUUAUCAUUUAGUUUAGAUUUU